Molecule: long non-coding RNA, 1029 nt
Organism: Hippocampus zosterae (dwarf seahorse)
Lineage: Eukaryota; Metazoa; Chordata; Actinopteri; Syngnathiformes; Syngnathidae
Exons: 2
Source: RefSeq, a predicted model, not a curated record
CCGUCAAGACGUCUUAUUAGCUGGGAUAAAAGCCGCGAUAGCGAAGGGCCGGCUUGGCAAAGAAGGCCGUGAACCCCCGCGGGCCAGCGUUGACCUCCACCUGAUCCCUCACAAACUGUAAUGACAGCCCCGGCCGAAUCCAACUGGCAGCCGUCAGCCAACGAGCGCUGGACUGUGAAGCGUUCGGAACCCUUAAUUAACAACAUACACAGUGCAACGCGCGUCCGAUCGCUGCCAGUGGGAUGAAAGGAUGCCGGUGGCAAGUAACCAAGGUUAAAUAUUUUCUUACUAUAAUCAAACUGAUUUUUCAGGAAUCUGGUUCUGACUUGAAUACUGGGGUACCUUCCAAGAAGUCAUGCAUUGAAAUGAAUGGAAACACCAAAAAUGUGUCAUGUGAUUUUUAUUUUAUUUUUUUGCACAACAAUGGGUACUUCUACUUAAAGGGGCGGAGCCUGCGGCAAAAAUGAUCUUCCUGUGUCUCCACUUGUCUUAAAAACUUCAUUCUGAUUACAAUUGCAUGAAUGUCCAUUAAGUCGCUGCCACAGUGUCCUGCACCGCCAUCUGCUGUCGAGUGAAACUGAAGUCAAAGUGCCCUCGGGCUUACAUUGCGAGCGUCAUGUGACCAAAUGCAGAAAACAGUCAAGUUCGAGGAAGGCUGAGAUCCAAAUCAACCAUCACCACCACACUCAGUACAGACAAGAAGACAUUGUCGACGAAUUCCCGACCACAUACGUCUUUGCUCUUGCGAAGAAUACAACUUUUUUUUUCCCCUUGUAAAAAUGCUGUUUUUACACCAAGUCCCAUCCAUGAGGAAAUAGUUUGUGUUUUGAGUCACGAGUGAGUCUUUUGUUUUUCUUAAACUGUCGCCGCUGAUGUCAAAUUUGAACUUUGUGGCUCAAGUUGAGCUUUGAGAAUUGAGAUUUUCCAUCGUAAAAAAGAUUCGAGGUUAUUCAACUUUUCCCCUGAGAAACAUAAGUCUGACUCCAUUCUUUGAAUAAAUGAGCUUGUGACACCACAAAAACAGGAAAA